RNAcentral lists this ribosomal RNA (501 nucleotides) under uncultured bacterium. Its description in RNAcentral is "partial 16S ribosomal RNA". It matches the Rfam family "Bacterial small subunit ribosomal RNA", at positions 899 to 1397 of the family's 1533-position model. The record is from RNAcentral.
ACUCAAAGGAAUUGACGGGGGUCCGCACAAGCGGUGGAACAUGUGGUUUAAUUCGACACUACGCGAGAAACCUUACCUAGGCUUGACAUGUAUAUGCUGUUCUAUGAAAGUAGGAGUUCCAAGCUUGCUUGGACAUAUACACAGGUGCUGCAUGGCUGUCGUCAGCUCGUGUCGUGAGAUGUUGGGUUAAGUCCUUUAACGAGCGCAACCCCUGCUGUCAGUUGCUAGUCCUUCGGGGCGCACUCUGGCAGGACUGCCUGGGAAACCAGGAGGAAGGUGGGGAUGACGUCAAGUCCUCAUGGCCCUUAUGUCUAGGGCUACACACGUGUUACAAUGGCUGGUACAAAGAGCAGCAAACUCGCGAGGGUAAGCUAAUCUCAUAAAGCCAGUCUAAGUUCGGAUUGAAGUCUGCAACUCGACUUCAUGAAGUUGAAAUCGCUAGUAAUCGCGCAUCAGAACGGCGCGGUGAAUACGUUCUCGGACCUUGUACACACCGCCCGU